GAGGGUAUAGCUCAGUGGUAGAGCACAUGCUUAGCAUGCAGGAGGUCCUGGGUUCAAUCCCCAGUACUUCCC
Molecule: transfer RNA, 72 nt
Filed under: Camelus bactrianus (Bactrian camel)
Lineage: Eukaryota; Metazoa; Chordata; Mammalia; Artiodactyla; Camelidae
Also listed under: 1 other name
Rfam family: tRNA
About the family: Transfer RNA (tRNA) molecules are approximately 80 nucleotides in length. Their secondary structure includes four short double-helical elements and three loops (D, anti-codon, and T loops). Further hydrogen bonds mediate the characteristic L-shaped molecular structure. tRNAs have two regions of fundamental functional importance: the anti-codon, which is responsible for specific mRNA codon recognition, and the 3' end, to which the tRNAs corresponding amino acid is attached (by aminoacyl-tRNA synthetases). tRNAs cope with the degeneracy of the genetic code in two manners: having more than one tRNA (with a specific anti-codon) for a particular amino acid; and 'wobble' base-pairing, i.e. permitting non-standard base-pairing at the 3rd anti-codon position.
Source: Rfam by way of RNAcentral